RNAcentral lists this ribosomal RNA (253 nucleotides) under uncultured bacterium. RNAcentral describes it as "partial 16S ribosomal RNA". It matches the Rfam family "Bacterial small subunit ribosomal RNA", at positions 524 to 776 of the family's 1533-position model. The record is from RNAcentral.
UACGAAGGGGGCUAGCGUUGCUCGGAAUCACUGGGCGUAAAGGGUGCGUAGGCGGGGCUUUAAGUCAGGGGUGAAAUCCUGGAGCUCAACUCCAGAACUGCCUUUGAUACUGAGGAUCUUGAGUUCGGGAGAGGUGAGUGGAACUGCGAGUGUAGAGGUGAAAUUCGUAGAUAUUAGCUAGAACACCAGUGGCGAAGGCGGCCAACUGGUCCGGAACUGACGCUGAGGUGUGAAAGCGUGGGGAGCAAACAGG